RNAcentral lists this long non-coding RNA (255 nucleotides) under Pan troglodytes (chimpanzee). RNAcentral's name for it is "long non-coding RNA NONPTRT002079". The record is from RNAcentral. Lineage: Eukaryota; Metazoa; Chordata; Mammalia; Primates; Hominidae.
UAUAACCAAUGCUACAAUUGGUAUGGAUAAUAAUUGAAAACCAUACCCUGUAUUAUUUAUUCAUAAAUUCACAUGAACCUAGUUGAAAGAAAACACAAUCUAGAUACAGGAGAUCCAUUGUUAGCAUUUGGUAGGGUGGUGGUUUUCUCUUUUUAAAUCUUUUUUUUUGUGUGUGUGUGUGUAAGUUGUACUAUCUUCCCCGACUAGAUCCGAAGAGUAGCCGUUUAUUUUAGUAUGUAUCUUAAAGCAGCAAUG